ACAUUGAAGGCCGGGACAUCGAACAUUAUUGA
RNAcentral lists this non-coding RNA (32 nucleotides) under Geobacter sulfurreducens KN400. The record is from RNAcentral. Lineage: Bacteria; Pseudomonadati; Thermodesulfobacteriota; Desulfuromonadia; Geobacterales; Geobacteraceae.